CAACAUUGAACUCGAAGUGAAAAAUUUGAAUUUACUCUCUAAAGGACCUAAAACCAUCUCUGUAUCUGAAACAAGAGUCGAGAGACUGGAAUAAAAGCGGUAAUGGAUGGAUAAUCAGGCAGCCAUCCAGAAACAGUGUCAUUGAAUUGAGGUGCCAGUCUAAUAGAUUGAUACUGCAGGAGGUGGAUGUAUGCACAUACAGUACAGAGGCUGUAUCCCAGUGAACAGAGCCAGGACCGUAAUAGUUUCCUUUCCUGACUGAGACCUCUGCUGGUGACAUGGAGAACCAGGAAAACAGGAGUAGGACCCAAAAUGCAGACACCGUAGGCAGAGGAAUGCAGUUCAGUGUUUUAAUGAAGAAAUACAAGGACUUACAUGGAUUGUCAGGCAAGCAGAGAGCAAACCAGGAAAGGUAGUCCAACAAAGCCAAACUAUUAAGACUGGGAGUAAUCCAUGCAAGGUCCAAGAGAAACAGAAGAUAAUCCAAUAGAACACACAGGUAACCAAGGCCGGGACACUUGAUAAAAGUCAAAGACGAACUGACACAGAACAAAAAAACACCAGUUUUUUUCCAGUUAUUUCCACUGGAGGCCAACUAAAACCUAAAACAUUUUGUUGAUUGUGCAAAACGGGAUUUUUCCAAACACUAACAAAGUGAAAGUAAGUUUUGUCUGAACCAAGAAGAGGCUGAGUCACUGUUGUGUGACAUCAAUCAGCCAUACAAAGAAGCAAAAUGCCCCUUCAAAUAAGCAUGGAAAUACUGCAUAUGUAAAUCAAAGGUCAAAACGUUUCUCUGACAAGAAAGCAGGGGGUUUUUUUCAUGACCACUUCCUUUCUUAGAAGCAGAGUCUAAGUAUUCAAAUUAAAUACUUAAAAGCUACUAUUAUCAAUAUUUUUAAAUAAAAAAUGUAUCAAAUUACUAUGUGUAUGUGAAAGGUGUUGCUUGUUGUUUUGGUUGUCCAGCUCACAAUUUCACUGUUUUGGUUCAGUGUAACUGCUU
Molecule: long non-coding RNA, 1000 nt
Organism: Siniperca chuatsi (mandarin fish)
Lineage: Eukaryota; Metazoa; Chordata; Actinopteri; Centrarchiformes; Sinipercidae
Exons: 4
Source: RefSeq, a predicted model, not a curated record